AUCUUUGCGCUUGGGGCAAUGACGCAGCUAGUGAGGUUAUACCGAGGCGCGUCAAUUGCUGGUUGAAAACUAUUUCCAAACCCCCUCUUUGGCCCUCCGGGGACAUUGAGAAUUUCUGAAAGGGCUCCUUCCCUUCGGGGAGGGCAAAGCC
Triticum urartu is the source of this 151-nucleotide non-coding RNA. NCBI's taxonomy places the organism in Eukaryota, Viridiplantae, Streptophyta, Magnoliopsida, Poales, Poaceae. The record is from Rfam.